Molecule: ribosomal RNA, 427 nt
Filed under: uncultured Burkholderiaceae bacterium
Lineage: Bacteria; Pseudomonadati; Pseudomonadota; Betaproteobacteria; Burkholderiales; Burkholderiaceae
Also listed under: 1 other name
Description: partial 16S ribosomal RNA
Rfam family: Bacterial small subunit ribosomal RNA
Source: RNAcentral
UGGGGAAUUUUGGACAAUGGGCGCAAGCCUGAUCCAGCAAUGCCGCGUGUGUGAAGAAGGCCUUCGGGUUGUAAAGCACUUUUGUCCGGAAAGAAAACCUCAGCCCUAAUACGGCGGGGGGAUGACGGUACCGGAAGAAUAAGCACCGGCUAACUACGUGCCAGCAGCCGCGGUAAUACGUAGGGUGCAAGCGUUAAUCGGAAUUACUGGGCGUAAAGCGUGCGCAGGCGGUCCGCUAAGACAGAUGUGAAAUCCCCGGGCUUAACCUGGGAACUGCAUUUGUGACUGGCGGGCUAGAGUAUGGCAGAGGGGGGUAGAAUUCCACGUGUAGCAGUGAAAUGCGUAGAGAUGUGGAGGAAUACCGAUGGCGAAGGCAGCCCCCUGGGCCAAUACUGACGCUCAUGCACGAAAGCGUGGGGAGCAAACA